UGGCCUCCUUUGUUUUUCCUGAAACAAUGCGCUUGAAGAGGGGGUUCCGCGUCCCAUUAGCUAGCUGGUGAGGUUACUGUCUCUCUCCAAGGCGAUGAUGGGUAGCUGGUCUGAGAGGACGAUCAGCCACAUUGGGACUGAGAUACUGCCCAGACUCCUACGGGAGGCUGCAGUCGAGAAUUUUGGGCAAUGGACGAAGUCUGACCCAGCAAUGCCGCGUGCGGGAUGAAGGUCUUCGGAUUGUAAACCGCUGUCAAGAGGGACGAAAUUUGACGGUACCUCCUGGAGGAAGCCACGGCUAACUACGUGCCAGCAGCCGCGGUAUCACGUUAGGUGGCGAGCGUUGUUCGGAAUUUAUUGGGCGUAAAGGGUCCGCAGGUGGCUUGAUAGGUUGACGUGAAUCCCGAGCUCACUCUGGAACGGCUUGAAACUGCUUGCUGUAAUCGAUGGAGA
This 453-nucleotide ribosomal RNA is filed under the name uncultured bacterium. Its description in RNAcentral is "bacterial SSU rRNA". It matches the Rfam family "Bacterial small subunit ribosomal RNA", at positions 182 to 660 of the family's 1533-position model. The record is from RNAcentral.